CAGUAGCCGCGGUAAUACGAAGGGGGCUAGCGUUGUUCGGAUUUACUGGGCGUAAAGGGCGCGUAGGCGGACUGAUAAGUCAGGGGUGAAAUCCCAAGGCUCAACCUUGGAACUGCCUUUGAUACUGUUUGUCUUGAGUUCGAGAGAGGUAAGUGGAACUGCGAGUGUAGAGGUGAAAUUCGUAGAUAUUCGCAAGAACACCAGUGGCGAAGGUGGCUUACUGGCUCGAAACUGACGCUGAGGCGCGAAAGCGUGGGGAGCAAACAGGAUUAGAUACCCGUGUAGUCCCUGUCUCUUAUAC
RNAcentral lists this ribosomal RNA (301 nucleotides) under uncultured bacterium. Its description in RNAcentral is "partial 16S ribosomal RNA". It matches the Rfam family "Bacterial small subunit ribosomal RNA", at positions 509 to 807 of the family's 1533-position model. The record is from RNAcentral.